Molecule: transfer RNA, 73 nt
Filed under: Manduca sexta (tobacco hornworm)
Lineage: Eukaryota; Metazoa; Arthropoda; Insecta; Lepidoptera; Sphingidae
Description: tRNA-Val
Source: RNAcentral
GUUUCCGUAGUGUAGCGGUUAUCACGUGUGCUUCACACGCACUAGGUCCCCGGUUCGAUCCCGGGCGGAAACA